UCCCUGGUGGCUCAGACAGUAAAGAAUCUGCCUGCAAUGCAGGAGACCCAGGUUCAAUCCCUGGGUCGGGAA
This is a transfer RNA of Ovis aries (sheep), 72 nucleotides long. It matches the Rfam family "tRNA". Rfam says of the family: Transfer RNA (tRNA) molecules are approximately 80 nucleotides in length. Their secondary structure includes four short double-helical elements and three loops (D, anti-codon, and T loops). NCBI's taxonomy places the organism in Eukaryota, Metazoa, Chordata, Mammalia, Artiodactyla, Bovidae. The record is from Rfam.